GUACUUGCUUCAGCAGCACAUAUACUAAAAUUAGAAAGAUACAGAGAAGAUUAGCAUGGCCCCUGUGCAAGGAUGACAUGCAAAUUCGUGAAGUGUUCCAUAUUUCU
This 107-nucleotide small nuclear RNA is filed under the name Marmota marmota marmota (Alpine marmot). The record is from RNAcentral. Lineage: Eukaryota; Metazoa; Chordata; Mammalia; Rodentia; Sciuridae.